RNAcentral lists this ribosomal RNA (301 nucleotides) under uncultured bacterium. RNAcentral's name for it is "partial 16S ribosomal RNA". It matches the Rfam family "Bacterial small subunit ribosomal RNA", at positions 509 to 807 of the family's 1533-position model. The record is from RNAcentral.
CAGUAGCCGCGGUAAUACGAGGGGGGCAAGCGUUGUUCGGAAUUAUUGGGCGUAAAGGGCGCGUAGGCGGUUUGACAAGUCUGAUGUGAAAUCCCCGGGCUCAACCUGGGAAUGGCAAUGGAUACUGGCAAGCUAGAGUGUGUCAGAGGAUGGUGGAAUUCCCGGUGUAGCGGUGAAAUGCGUAGAGAUGUGGAGGAACACCAGUGGCGAAGGCGACUCUCUGGUCUGUAACUGACGCUGAGGAGCGAAAGCGUGGGGAGCGAACAGGAUUAGAUACCCCGGUAGUCCCUGUCUCUUAUAC